This is a non-coding RNA of Salmo salar (Atlantic salmon), 54 nucleotides long. The record is from Rfam. NCBI's taxonomy places the organism in Eukaryota, Metazoa, Chordata, Actinopteri, Salmoniformes, Salmonidae.
AAUGCACCAAUUUGUAAGUCGCUAUGUAUAAGAGCGUCUGCUAAAUGACUUAAA